Molecule: long non-coding RNA, 564 nt
Filed under: Marmota monax (woodchuck)
Lineage: Eukaryota; Metazoa; Chordata; Mammalia; Rodentia; Sciuridae
Source: RNAcentral
GUUAAAUAGAUGAAGUUUAAAAAAAAAUUAACCUAGGGACACUUUGUGGACAACUGGAACAUUUUUGUUAAAAAAUAAUCUGCUUGUGCUUAAGUUUGAUUUAAUACAUUUUGGGAGAAUUAAGAUUCUCACAAUUGCUUUAAACAAGUGAAAAGUUAUCUUUAGUAAAACAUAGAGGAGAAAUCUAGAUGAUAUAUACUACAGUAUUCUGCUUAAUAGGAAAACUUCAAGUAAGACAUCUUUAAAUAUGUAAUCGAUACUUGCUGUACUUCCCAAUACUUCUUUUCUGUUGGUGUCAGUAAGAUAGAGGUGACCGACUCUAGUCAAUGCCAUGGGGUCAUCUAGAGAGCAGGCUGGUGGACAGCCUUGAAGUGUGUGGCACUGGGCAGGUUUUGAGGGUCCAGUCUUCCUACCUGUAGAGGGAGGUGAUGGUGCCCACCUUUCAGAGCAGUUGUGACACCAGAAGACGACAAAUUUGAGUUUCCCAGGCCAGCAGGCCCUUGAUGCAGCCUGGCUGCUAUGAAUCAUGAGGCCCCUGGGACAUUCUUCCCUGUGAAUGGAUUU